Molecule: ribosomal RNA, 1346 nt
Filed under: uncultured bacterium
Lineage: Bacteria
Description: bacterial SSU rRNA
Rfam family: Bacterial small subunit ribosomal RNA
Source: RNAcentral
GACGAACGCUGGCGGCGUGCUUAACACAUGCAAGUCGAACGGAAAGGCCCUGCUUUUGUGGGGUGCUCGAGUGGCGAACGGGUGAGUAACACGUGAGUAACCUGCCCUUGACUUUGGGAUAACUUCAGGAAACUGGGGCUAAUACCGGAUAGGAGCUCCUGCUGCAUGGUGGGGGUUGGAAAGUUUCGGCGGUUGGGGAUGGACUCGCGGCUUAUCAGCUUGUUGGUGGGGUAGUGGCUUACCAAGGCUUUGACGGGUAGCCGGCCUGAGAGGGUGACCGGCCACAUUGGGACUGAGAUACGGCCCAGACUCCUACGGGAGGCAGCAGUGGGGAAUAUUGCACAAUGGGCGGAAGCCUGAUGCAGCAACGCCGCGUGCGGGAUGACGGCCUUCGGGUUGUAAACCGCUUUCGCCUGUGACGAAGCGUGAGUGACGGUAAUGGGUAAAGAAGCACCGGCUAACUACGUGCCAGCAGCCGCGGUGAUACGUAGGGUGCGAGCGUUGUCCGGAUUUAUUGGGCGUAAAGGGCUCGUAGGUGGUUGAUCGCGUCGGAAGUGUAAUCUUGGGGCUUAACCCUGAGCGUGCUUUCGAUACGGGUUGACUUGAGGAAGGUAGGGGAGAAUGGAAUUCCUGGUGGAGCGGUGGAAUGCGCAGAUAUCAGGAGGAACACCAGUGGCGAAGGCGGUUCUCUGGGCCUUUCCUGACGCUGAGGAGCGAAAGCGUGGGGAGCGAACAGGCUUAGAUACCCUGGUAGUCCACGCUGUAAACGGUGGGUACUAGGUGUGGGGUCCAUUCCACGGGUUCCGUGCCGUAGCUAACGCUUUAAGUACCCCGCCUGGGGAGUACGGCCGCAAGGCUAAAACUCAAAGGAAUUGACGGGGCCCCGCACAAGCGGCGGAGCAUGCGGAUUAAUUCGAUGCAACGCGUAGAACCUUACCUGGGUUUGACAUGGAUCGGGAGCGCUCAGAGAUGGGUGUGCCUCUUUUGGGGUCGGUUCACAGGUGGUGCAUGGCUGUCGUCAGCUCGUGUCGUGAGAUGUUGGGUUAAGUCCCGCAACGAGCGCAACCCUUGUUCACUGUUGCCAGCACGUUAUGGUGGGGACUCAGUGGAGACCGCCGGGGUCAACUCGGAGGAAGGUGGGGAUGACGUCAAGUCAUCAUGCCCCUUAUGUCCAGGGCUUCACGCAUGCUACAAUGGCUGGUACAGAGAGUGGCGAGCCUGUGAGGAUGAGCGAAUCUCGGAAAGCCGGUCUCAGUUCGGAUUGGGGUCUGCAACUCGACCUCAUGAAGUCGGAGUCGCUAGUAAUCGCAGAUCAGCAACGCUGCGGUGAAUACGUUCCCGGGGCU